This 467-nucleotide ribosomal RNA is filed under the name uncultured bacterium. RNAcentral describes it as "bacterial SSU rRNA". It matches the Rfam family "Bacterial small subunit ribosomal RNA", at positions 355 to 825 of the family's 1533-position model. The record is from RNAcentral.
UGAGGAAUAUUGGACAAUGGGCGCAAGCCUGAUCCAGCCAUGCCGCGUGCAGGAUGACGGUCCUAUGGAUUGUAAACUGCUUUUGUACAGGAAGAAACAGUUCUACGUGUGGAACCUUGACGGUACUGUAAGAAUAAGGAUCGGCUAACUCCGUGCCAGCAGCCGCGGUAAUACGGAGGAUCCAAGCGUUAUCCGGAAUCAUUGGGUUUAAAGGGUCCGUAGGCGGUUAGAUAAGUCAGUGGUGAAAGCCCAUCGCUCAACGGUGGAACGGCCAUUGAUACUGUCUGACUUGAAUUAUUAGGAAGUAACUAGAAUAUGUAGUGUAGCGGUGAAAUGCUUAGAGAUUACAUGGAAUACCAAUUGCGAAGGCAGGUUACUACUAAUGGAUUGACGCUGAUGGACGAAAGCGUGGGUAGCGAACAGGAUUAGAUACCCUUGUAGUCCCUGAGCGGGCUGGCAAGGCGCAU